Molecule: small RNA, 28 nt
Filed under: Bombyx mori (domestic silkworm)
Lineage: Eukaryota; Metazoa; Arthropoda; Insecta; Lepidoptera; Bombycidae
Description: ovarian small RNA-17337
Source: RNAcentral
GGAUCUAGAAGAGGGGCCUAUCCUCGGU